GACGAACGCUGGCGGCGUGCUUAACACAUGCAAGUCGAACGGAAAGGCCCUGCUUUUGUGGGGUGCUCGAGUGGCGCACGGGUGAGUAACACGUGAGUAACCUGCCCUUGACUUUGGGAUAACUUCAGGAAACUGGGGCUAAUACCGGAUAGGAGCUCCUGCUGCAUGGUGGGGGUUGGAAAGUUUCGGCGGUUGGGGAUGGACUCGCGGCUUAUCAGCUUGUUGGUGGGGUAGUGGCUUACCAAGGCUUUGACGGGUAGCCGGCCUGAGAGGGUGACCGGCCACAUUGGGACUGAGAUACGGCCCAGACUCCUACGGGAGGCAGCAGGGGGGAAUAUUGCACAAUGGGCGGGAGCCUGAUGCAGCAACGCCGCGUGCGGGAUGACGGCCUUCGGGUUGUAAACCGCUUUCGCCUGUGACGAAGCGUGAGUGACGGUAAUGGGUAAAGAAGCACCGGCUAACUACGUG
RNAcentral lists this ribosomal RNA (468 nucleotides) under uncultured bacterium. Its description in RNAcentral is "partial 16S ribosomal RNA". It matches the Rfam family "Bacterial small subunit ribosomal RNA", at positions 28 to 507 of the family's 1533-position model. The record is from RNAcentral.